GUUAUAUGGUCAAGCGAAUAAGCGCACACGGUGGAUGCCUUGGCGGUCAGAGGCGAUGAAGGACGUGGCAGCCUGCGAAAAGUAUCGGGGAGCUGGCAACAAGCUUUGAUCCGGUAAUGUCCGAAUGGGGAAACCCACCCGCUUGCGGGUAUCCUGCAGUGAAUACAUAGCUGCUGGAAGCGAACCUGGUGAACUGAAAUAUCUAAGUAACCAGAGGAAAAGAAAUCAACCGAGAUUCCGUAAGUAGCGACGAGCGAACGCGGACUAGCCCUUAAGCUGAUUUGGUUCUAGGAAAACGCUCUGGAAAGAGCGGCCAUAGAAGGUGAUAGCCCUGUAUCUGAAAGGGCCAUUCCAGUGAAGACGAGUAGGGCGGGGCACGUGAAACCCUGUCUGAACAUGGGGGGACCAUCCUCCAAGGCUAAAUACUACUGACCGACCGAUAGUGAACCAGUACCGUGAGGGAAAGGCGAAAAGAACCCCGGAGAGGGGAGUGAAAUAGAACCUGAAACCGUGUGCGUACAAGCAGUAGGAGCUCCGCAAGGAGUGACUGCGUACCUUUUGUAUAAUGGGUCAGCGACUUACUGUUCGUGGCAAGCUUAACCGUAUAGGGGAGGCGAAGGGAAACCGAGUCUGAUAAGGGCGCAUAGUCGCGGGCAGUAGACCCGAAACCGGGUGAUCUAGUCAUGCCCAGGGUGAAGGUGCGGUAACACGCACUGGAGGCCCGAACCCACUCCCGUUGCAAAGGUAGGGGAUGAGGUGUGAUUAGGAGUGAAAAGCUAAUCGAACCCGGAGAUAGCUGGUUCUCCUCGAAAGCUAUUUAGGUAGCGCCUCAUAUGUAUCCUCUCGGGGGUAGAGCACUGUUAUGGCUAGGGGGUCAUCGCGACUUACCAAACCAUUGCAAACUCCGAAUACCGAGACGGACUGUAUGGGAGACACACGGCGGGUGCUAACGUCCGUCGUGAAAAGGGAAACAACCCAGACCCACAGCUAAGGUCCCAAAUUUUGUGCUAAGUGGAAAACCAUGUGGAAAGGCACAGACAGCCAGGAGGUUGGCUUAGAAGCAGCCACCCUUUAAAGAAAGCGUAAUAGCUCACUGGUCGAGUCGGUCUGCGGGGAAGAUUUAACGGGGCUAAGCACAGAACCGAAGCUUGGGGUGCAUAACUUUGUUAUGCGCGGUAGAGGAGCGUUCCGUAAGCCGUUGAAGGUGGAUUGAGAAGUCUGCUGGAGGUAUCGGAAGUGCGAAUGCUGACAUGAGUAACGAUAAUGCGGGUGAAAAACCCGCACGCCGAAAGCCCAAGGUUUCCUUGCGCAACGUUAAUCGGCGCAGGGUGAGUCGGCCCCUAAGGCGAGGACGAAAGUCGUAGUCGAUGGGAAGCAGGUUAAUAUUCCUGCACCUCGCGUAAGUGCGAUGGAGGGACGGAGAAGGUUAGGUGUACCAGGCGUUGGUUGUCCUGGGGAAAGGCGGUAGGUUUGGAUCUUUGGCAAAUCCGGGAUCCUCUAAGACCGAGCACCGAGACGAGCCUUUAUGGCAAAGUCACUGAUACCACGCUUCCAGGAAAAGCUCCUAAGCUUCAGCUUACGCAGACCGUACCGUAAACCGACACAGGUGGGUAGGAUGAGAAUUCUCAGGCGCUUGAGAGAACUCGGGUGAAGGAACUAGGCAACAUGGCACCGUAACUUCGGGAGAAGGUGCACCCUUUUUGGUGGCUCGUGCGAGCUAUAGCUGAAGAGGGUCGCAGUAACCAGGCCGCUGCGACUGUUUAUCAAAAACACAGCACUCUGCAAACACGAAAGUGGACGUAUAGGGUGUGACGCCUGCCCGGUGCUGGAAGGUUAAUUGAUGGGGUCAGCCGCAAGGCGAAGCUCUUGAUCGAAGCCCC
This 1880-nucleotide ribosomal RNA is filed under the name Salmonella enterica subsp. enterica serovar Typhimurium. RNAcentral's name for it is "partial 23S ribosomal RNA". It matches the Rfam family "Bacterial large subunit ribosomal RNA", at positions 1 to 1921 of the family's 2925-position model. Lineage: Bacteria; Pseudomonadati; Pseudomonadota; Gammaproteobacteria; Enterobacterales; Enterobacteriaceae. The record is from RNAcentral.